UUAAGAAAAUACUCCUUCAUC
Molecule: non-coding RNA, 21 nt
Organism: Caenorhabditis elegans
Lineage: Eukaryota; Metazoa; Nematoda; Chromadorea; Rhabditida; Rhabditidae
Source: Ensembl